GACCGUGACGACUUUUUAAUAGAGACGGACGUGCCCUCGAUAGAACAACAGGAUUCCGCCUUCAGGUGUUUGGGGCUCUGCUGAAAGUGUGGGUCCUCGCGCUGGGGGCUGAACCGCCCUGAGGUGUGAGCAAAGGGAUCCAGAUCCAAGCUGAUUCUUACCCGCGUUGGGAGUCGGUGCCAUGGCUGUCUCGUAGCUCUUCAUGCAACUCAUAUCAGGUGCUUGAAGAAGGCAGGUUCUGAGGAUCUGUGUCCUGAUGGCUGUAGAAGCUUCUACUCCAGAUUCAAGGGCAGCAGUCCUCAGGAGACCCCAACAGAAGUUCCACUCUCCUGGUGGAAAUUGAUGCCUGGCUCAAAGGAGAUGACUUUACCAUGAACAACUCAUAGAACCCACUGGGAUUUGAAGGAGCAUGGAAGCAAAUAUAUAUGUUACAAGUAUAUAUCCGCUGACCUUUCUUUGUAGAGAAGUUUAAUGAUGGUGGUGAGUUGGUGCCAUCUUGUGACAAAAACCUGAACUGCAGCUUGAACUUCGCGGAGCAGGAAGAUGGGAGGGAGGGGCUGUGGCCCCAAACCAACCAGAGCUUUCUGGAAGUCUGCGUGGAAAGGGGACAUUUCCAAGCUCUUCAUGGUGGUGGCCCAGCUCCUAUCAUGUGCCUGAAGGAGGCAGGUUCUGAGGUUCUGUGUCUGGAUGGCUUCUACUCCAGCAGUCUUUAGGAGAGCCCAUCACCUUACAUCCCUGGUGGGAUAUGGUACCUGGCUGAAAGAGAGAGAGCAAGGGGAGUGGCAGAGGGAGAGGG
Molecule: long non-coding RNA, 796 nt
Organism: Leptonychotes weddellii (Weddell seal)
Lineage: Eukaryota; Metazoa; Chordata; Mammalia; Carnivora; Phocidae
Source: RefSeq, a predicted model, not a curated record